RNAcentral lists this unclassified non-coding RNA (185 nucleotides) under plant metagenome. Its description in RNAcentral is "partial contains small subunit ribosomal RNA and internal transcribed spacer 1". The stretch from base 1 to 46 matches the Rfam family "Eukaryotic small subunit ribosomal RNA", at positions 1786 to 1831 of the family's 1831-position model. The record is from RNAcentral.
AAGUCGUAACAAGGUUUCCGUAGGUGAACCUGCGGAAGGAUCAGUAGAGAACGCCGGCGAAAGCCGGCACUACACCACACACACACGUGAACCGUCCGGAGCCAGCGGAAGGGCUUGCCCUAAUAGCGUCCGCUUUACAAAACACUUAGAAACGUAACGAACGUAGUCUUAUUUAACAAAUAAAA